This is a long non-coding RNA of Morus notabilis, 699 nucleotides long. RefSeq lists it as uncharacterized. The record is from RefSeq and is a predicted model, not a curated record. Lineage: Eukaryota; Viridiplantae; Streptophyta; Magnoliopsida; Rosales; Moraceae. The transcript is spliced from 2 exons.
GUUUCUUAACCCUCACAUGAAACUCCCCAGUCGCCACUUUCAAAAACAAAACAAAAACAAAAAAACAAAAAAAAAACUCUCCAGCCGCCUCACUCUUUUUCCAUCUCACUUCUCCCCUCUCUCUCUCUUCCUUCACUGAGUCUCUCUCUCUCUCUCCCUAUUGAUCUAUUUUUCUCGUUCUGUGUCUGGAGAUGUCGAGCUGCGACGGAGAUGUUGAGCUGCCAAUCUGAAGAGAAAUGCGAGUGUUAAAUUCAAGUCGACGAGCAUGAUGAUUUUGAUGGAUCCAAUUAUAAAGGAAGAACAAGAGGAAACUGCAGCGCCUCACUCUUUUUCCAUCUCACUUCACCCCUCUCUCUCUCUUCCACCGACUUUCGCUGGAGAUGUUCGGGUGUGACCAGCUGCGAAAGCCUUUUCCUUUCUCUAUCAUCGCCGCCGCGAAUCCUACGUUCAGAAUCGCAGAUAACAUCCCGGCAUUGCGACGAUCUCUGCAAUUCUGAUGUUGCAACUUUCUCGUUUAUCGCACCUCAACCCCACUCCAAGUGUUCGACCAAAUGCCGGCAUGGAACUCCUCUUCUGUAGAAUCUGAGUUUGUAAUUUUGAUCUGAGGUUUUUGAAUUUGAUCUGAGCUUGUGCUAAAUUUUGUAAAUUUUUUGUUGAUGUGGAUGUGGGCUCUGAGAUGAGGCCAUUAAGGAAUGGAAA